CACGUGACGUUUUUGAGUUCUAUGAUUGGUCAAUAACAGAGCGCGGAUUUUUCCAUGGACGAUUUGAAUGUUUGUAUGUUGAAAGUGUUGAUAGAAAAAAAGGAGAUAAAACCAGUUGCAGAAUAUUGGUACAUGAUGUUUCCAUGAGCUGAAUCUGUCCUGCCCUGGAGUACAUGAAAUUCUUCACAAUAUUACUUGUUUAAGAAUUGAAGAAAAGGUUAAAAUUGCAAGCAUAUUUCAACGAAAACUUAGCCGACUACCAGUCACACUGCCCACCAGCCAAGACGUCUGACCAGCUAAAAUGAGGGACGCAGUCCACCAGCCAAGUCCCUCGGCCAGCUCGGCUGACCCAGUGCGGCCUGUCAAGGGAUGACCAAGUCCAUCAACUAGCUCGGCUGACUACCAGUGCAGCCUGUCAAGUCCUUCAACUAACUUGGCUUAUUACCAGUGCGGCCUGUCAUUGAACAACCAAGUCCAUCAACUAGAUUGGCUUACUACCAGAGCGGCUUAAUUUUCAAGGGAUGGUCAAGUCCGUCAACUAACUUAACCUACUACCAGUGCCGCAUGUCAAGAGAUGGCCAAGUUCGUCAACUAGCUCGGCUUACUACCAGUACCGCCUGUCAAUAUAGGGACGGUUAAGACUGUUGACUAACUUGGCCUUCUACCAGUGCGGCUUGUCAAGGGACGUUUAAGUCCGUCAACUAACUUGACCAACUACAGAUGCGACCUGUCAAGGGAUGGCCAAGUCCGUCAACUAUCUUGACCAACUACCAGUGCGGCCUGUCAAACGAUGGCCAAGUCCUUCAACUAACUUGGCCUACUACCAGUGUGGCCUGUCAAACGAUGGCUAAGUCUGUCAGCUAACUUGGUCUACUACCAGUGCGGCCUGUCAAACGAUGGCCAAGUCCUUCA
Saccostrea cuccullata (small rock oyster) is the source of this 912-nucleotide long non-coding RNA. RefSeq lists it as uncharacterized. NCBI's taxonomy places the organism in Eukaryota, Metazoa, Mollusca, Bivalvia, Ostreida, Ostreidae. The transcript has 3 exons. The record is from RefSeq and is a predicted model, not a curated record.